RNAcentral lists this ribosomal RNA (387 nucleotides) under Pyramimonadales sp. RNAcentral's name for it is "partial small subunit ribosomal RNA". It matches the Rfam family "Eukaryotic small subunit ribosomal RNA", at positions 582 to 975 of the family's 1831-position model. Lineage: Eukaryota; Viridiplantae; Chlorophyta; Pyramimonadophyceae; Pyramimonadales. The record is from RNAcentral.
AUUCCAGCUCCAAUAGCGUAUAUUAAUGUUGUUGCAGUUAAAAAGCUCGUAGUUGGAUUUCGGAUGGGUUUGACCGGUCCGCCUUUGGUGUGCACUGGUCGCGCCUAUCUUGCUGUCGGGGACGCGCUCCUGGCCUUAAUUGGCUGGGACGCGGAGUCGGCGAUGUUACUUUGAAAAAAUUAGAGUGUUCAAAGCAGGCCUAAGCUCUGAAUACAUUAGCAUGGAAUAACGCUAUAGGACUCUGGUCUUAUUGCGUUGGUCUUCGAGACCGGAGUAAUGAUUAAGAGGGACGGUUGGGGGCAUUCGUAUUUCAUUGUCAGAGGUGAAAUUCUUGGAUUUAUUAAAGACUAACUUAUGCGAAAGCAUUUGGCAGGGAUGUUUUCAUCG